This 802-nucleotide long non-coding RNA is filed under the name Homo sapiens (human). RNAcentral describes it as "HSALNT0383280". The record is from RNAcentral. Lineage: Eukaryota; Metazoa; Chordata; Mammalia; Primates; Hominidae.
CGCCAGCACAGUUGUGGCUCUGCGUGAGGCUGGACCAGAUGGACGGCCACAGACUCCGACCGGAACUGACAGCGCGGCCUCCAGGAUUGAAGCCAUCCCUGGCUUGAAGUAGCCUAAGGAGAUUUGCUAGUUUGAGUCCUGGGAGAUGAGAUGGGGAAGAUGGGCCCAAGCUGCAACAUGAAGGUCCAUGAUGAACAGUUGGCAUCUCCUACAGUGCCUGCCACUUGGUAAUGUUCAAUGCAGCCAAGGGAGCUAAGGUAAUGAACAAAACAGAGAAGUUCCUACCCUCCCUGAUGUUCAUUCUAGCAAAUGGAGACAGAUGAUAGAAACUGCACAUCAUUGAGCAAGAGGGACACCAUGGAUAAUGGAAAGAUCUACGGCAAGGCUGGCUGUCUGCCCUGUCUAAGGAGGACGUACUGGACCAUCCUGCUCUGCACAUCCAGAUGUGUCCAUGAAUACAUCCAUAAAACGAUGGCCUGUGGAAUCCUAUAGGAAAAUGAUCCAGAGCCUGGGCGGUCAGAAGGAACAAACACUUGAUUUACAAAAUAAAUCUUCUAUGUUUAUGUUUUAAAGACACACAGAGGAAAAACAUUUUUAAAUUCAUGAUUUCCCCCCCCAGAUUUUAACUAUUGUAAUCUCUUUCUUUCCUGAGCCUUAGGCAUCUUCAUUAUAAACCAAAAGAUAUAACUUGAGAUUUUCCCAGGGUUUAUAUACUCGUUAGAGUUGGAAACAUGAAAAUGGCAAUUUGGGAUGUCUCUUUGGAGUCAAAAACCUUAUAAAAAUAUAAUGUACUUUCUCUCUC